This is a long non-coding RNA of Cercocebus atys (sooty mangabey), 10707 nucleotides long. RefSeq lists it as uncharacterized. Lineage: Eukaryota; Metazoa; Chordata; Mammalia; Primates; Cercopithecidae. The transcript is spliced from 5 exons. The record is from RefSeq and is a predicted model, not a curated record.
UAGCAGCAUGAUUUAUAAUCCUUUGGGUAUAUACCCAGUACCCACCCAAGUGAUGCUGAUGCCCAUUUUCCUGAAGACCAUACCUUCAAAAACACUGACUAGCCAUUUCCUUCUGGUCCCUCUUCCUCGUGUUCUGUAUUCCACCGAAAGGGAGAAGAAAUAUUAUUAUCUUUCCAGGUAAUAUCUUUUCAUCUGUGCUGUGUGCAAGGACACAAAGGAAGACAACUAAAGUUGAAAUAAUGAAAAAAGUCCCAGUCUGAUGCUUAGAUUCUGAUUUAUUGGAAUUAUUUUGACUGUAACAAUUUUAACCAAAAAUAGGGUUUCUUAACCUUGGUACUAUUGACAUUUGGGACCAGAUCAUUCUUUGCCUUGUGUGUGGGAGGCUAUCCUGUGCAUUGUAGGAAGUUGAGCAGCAUAUCUGGCCUCCACCUACUAGAUACCAGUAGCAGCUACCCCUCCCUCCAAGUUACAGCAACCAGAUAUGCCUCCAGAUAUUGUCAAAUGUGCCCUAAGGGGCAAAUUUGCCCCUGGCUGAGAACCACCUUCAUAAGGCAUGGUCCCCAAAGAAAAGAAUCAAGAAAUUAGGCUUGGAGCAGUUUUCUUCAGUUGGUUCUUAUUGCACAGCAAGGCAAAGAAGGCCCUGCUAAACUGUUGGUGCUUGACCUUUAUGUACCAAGCAUUCCUGGGGGAUCUGGAACUCCCUGGCUCAUCCUCUCUAUUUGCUGGAUUAAUGAGAUACAGACAGUUUAAGUGACUUGGCAGGAAAAGGACAUUCUGUUUUAUUCUCCUCAUUUUAUUACACUCCUGACAACAAAUUCUUAACAUUUGCCUUAUAUGUUCUGCUCCCUAUCAUUAUCAUAAGAUAGAUUAGUGGGUGAGGGGGGUAGGGAAACCAAUAUAUGUGAAAUUGCUUUGAAACCUGCAGACACCAGAGUAAUGCCAGGUGUCAUCAUUCAUCCUACUCCUGAGCCUCUGAAGCCAGGAGUUUCUUGAGGUUAUAAAAGUGGUUUUUUGGGGGGUGACUAGUCAAGUACUCCAAAGAACUCCAGAGUGGUCAGUUUUGAUCACACAAAUGGCCAAUUUUUACCCAGUCUGUUAGCCUUUUAACAGCACACCAUGUUGCGUGGAGACCCACUUGUGUAUGACUCUUCAACGAUGGGUGGAGACCCAGGGCUCAGUUCUACUCUUCUGCUCUGGAGAACUUUCUCUUUGUUUACUUGGGUGGUGCAAGACCUACUUCACUGAAAGAAAAUGUGUUGUUAGUGUGAGAGGCACUGCUAAGUGGAAAUUAUUAAAGAAUGAAUUCCUUAUGUCUGUGAAAGGUUUCUCCACCUUGGCACUCUAGACAUUUGGGACCAGAACAUUCUUUGUUGUGAAGGCUGUCCUGUGCAGCGCAGGAUGUUUAGCAGCAUCUCUGGUCUCCACCCACUGGAUGCAAGUGACACCCUUCCCCUGCAGUUGUGGCAGCCAAAGAUAGCUUCAGAUAUUGCCAAGUUUCUUCUCAGUGGCAAAAUUUCCCCUGUUGAGAAUCACUGGCCUAGGAGGUAUGGAUGUGACACCAGCAAUCUAAUGAAUGGGUCUGACUUGUCAAAAAGAAUCUCUACCUUGAAACAUACUGGAAUGGCCUGCAAAGAGAUUGGGGUCAACUACUAUUUACAUCGCAACUCCACCAUUUAUUAGAUGUGCAAAACAAGUUAAUUACCCUCAUAAAUAAAAUUAAGAUAAUCAUACUUUCCUUCCGGGUUGUUUUGCGGAUCCAGAUGUUUGCAAAGCAUCUAGUUGAGCCUGUGACGUAGGUGCUUAAUGAAUAGUGGAAUUGUUACCAUUUCCAACAACAAUUCUAGCACCUGCAGUGUUGGCGUUGUCAUGGGAAUUCUGCAGGGUUUAGACAACUGAAACACUGUGCAACUGUGCAGAAGAAAGGAGAUUAUGAACAGAGGAAUGAAGGCAAUAGACUAACAUUUGAUUAUGGAUAUAAAUGAAAAAUCAUUUCUUAAUUCCCAGACGGUUAUUUGGAAAGUCAUAGCUGGAGAAAUUGCGGCCUCUCCUUUUUGCCUAAUGACCCUUUAAUUGAACAUAUAAGAAAUGUCUCUUUUUAGGUACUUUUUAAGGAUACCCUCUCUGGUUGUGUGGCAUAGAGUAGAAAUUCUUCAGCGAAAAUAUCAAAAUGGCAAAAACAAGAUAAGCCAAUAAUACCAAAUAGAACCUACUGUAAUGGUCAUUCUUUUUUCCUCACCCUUCCUUGCUUGUUUUCUUUCCCUGAAUUCUCAGAUUAUCAUAUUCUUGACUCCAGUUGAUGCAUGUAUUUAUGAUAUUCUUCGUACUAGGGUUUGAAGCCAAAGACAAUGGUACUAUGCUGUGCCAGGAUGUUCUCCUCUCUCUUCUCCAUCUCUCCUAUGUGACCACAGCUCCAGGCACCAUUUUUGGAAACACCAGGAAUUCUUCCUUCACUGCUCUUCAGCCCAGCUGUCUUCAGGCUGGGGUUUGUCUCCCUAAACUUACCUGGAAAAAAGAAUGAGGACCUUCAUUCUUCCUUAUAUUUCUUCUAUCUCUACAUCCCUGGAAGGGUUAACAGGGUGGGAAGAAAUUAUGGCUGUAGAGCAAAAUGAUAAUUCCUGAAAUGGCAUAUAUGUUUACAGUUGUCAGGCUGAGAUUUUACCCCCAGUUUGCUGAAAUUCUGCCUAAUGAGAUGUCCUCCCUUAAAAGCACAUUCGGUGUAUUCAUUGCUCCUGUCUGUGAGUAUGGGUGAAGUCAGCCUUGUCAUUGCCAAUGCCAGGGCCCUAGCAGGGCUGGUAGGUUCUUCACUUACAGGAGAUUUCAGAUGAGGAGGGCCUUAAGCUGCUACUCCAACUCUCCUUUCUGAUCCUGGACUUUGAUUGCCUUAAUUUCAUCUCUGUAGCUCUAUGAAAAAACUUUAAAAAGAGACAACUCUAAACUGUGUUCAGUCUUCAUAUAAACUGUGUUCAGUCUGUUUAUACAAUAGUGUAAAUAAAGAUUCUAAUUAAUACAGUUUGGAAAACUGUUAGGCAUUGUCUAGUAAAGUUGAAGAUAUGCAUGCCUAUGACCCAGCAGUUAUAUUCCUGGGUUUGUACCCUAUAAAAAUGCAUGCACAUAUGCACAAGGAGAUAUGUAUAAUGAUGUUUAAGCAGUGUGGUUUUCAGUAGUCCAAGAUUGAAAGGGACAUAAAUGUCCAUCAACAGUUACAAAGAUAAAUAGUAAUAAACACAUAUAAUGAGUACUAGACAGCAAUGGGAAUGAACAAACAACAGCUACAUACAGCAACAUGAAUGAGCCUUAGAAACAGAAUGUUGAGCAAAAGAAGUCAGCUACAAUAAACGCAUACUUACGAAUUUGUUUAUAUAAAGUUAGGAAACAGGCAACACUAAGCUCUAAUAUUUAUGGAUGCCUGACUUCCUAAAAAGCAGUGGAUUUCAACCAGGAGUGAUUAUGCCUUUCCCCACUCCCUGGGGGACAUCUGCAAUGUCUAGAGUCAUCUUUGGUUACCACAAUUGGUGUAGGGGGAAUAAUACUGGCAUAUAGUGGGUAGAGGCUGGGGGUGAUGCGAAACAUUCUGCAAUGUCAGGCUCUACCACAAAGAAUGAUUGGUUCCCAAAUGUCAAGAGUGUUGGAGUUGAGAAACCCUGCUGGAAAAGGGAAGUGAAGAAGUGAAGUCAUGACAGUGUCUACCACUGGGAUGGGGGAGGGAAAUACAGCCAAGGGACAUGGGGGUCUAGGGUACUAGCAAUAUUCUAAUUUUUGACCUCAGUGAAGGUUAGACAGGUGAAUGUUUUGUAACAAUUCAUUAAGCUGCACAUUAUAUGCUAUGAUUUUUCCAUUUCAAAAUGUUAAAAAUACUCUAGGGCUCUAGAGGCUAGAUUAGCAGGGCAAUAGGAUGGCAUAGUGUGGGCACUGGGUUUGGGGGAGGGGUUACCCAUCUAAGAGGAUCUCAUAGUAACUCUGUUAAUAAUGGUGGGGCUGGGCCUCCAAGAAGGGCCUGUCCUGCCAUCUGAAGUGAUUUUUAAUACUCAGAUGGGCCCUCAGCUCUUCCUACACUAUGAAGUUGAAUUUGCUUUCACAGAUUUGGGUAAAGUUUUUCUGAAAAAAGUAAUCCCCUUGCAUUGGCAUUAACUGUGGAAAAUUUUAACUCAGCCUAUAGGCAGGCAGAAUAAAUGCAAACAAGGAUUUUAAUUUAAAUGCUCUGGCAGAAAGGGCAGCAUUCAGUUCUGGAAAUGCUGUAACGUUUAGGGACAGGAAGACGUGGAAAUUCCACAGUUAGCAGGGCACAUUUUCUCUUAAAGGUGAUGCUAGUAGAGUAACUCAUACAGAUUAUUUUUAAGUCCUCUCUGGGGUGAAUUAUAAAUAUCUGAUAAAUUUAUUUUUUAAAAAAAGAAAAAAAAACUAAACAAAGAAUAACAUUAGCCUAGCAGGCUCUUAACCAACAAAUUGGAUGAACUUCAGCCUCCUCUGAAGUGAGGUUUUAUGUGCUUCUUGCUCCUUUUUCUCUCUCUCCAUUACCCCCAAAGGAUCAAACGUGCAUUCUGAAACCACAUGCCAUGUCAAUAUACAGUUUAGUUGACUUAGAACAAUACCUGUGCAUAGUAUGCACUUAGAAGUAUUUAUAAAGUGUGGAAUGAUAGACAGUGGACACUCAGAAGGACAGUGGGGGUGGAUGAUGGUAAAUUACUUAAUGGGCAAAAUGUACAUUCUUCUGGUGAUGGAUACCCUAAAAGCUCUGACUUCAUCACUACACAGUCUAUCCAUGUAAUGAAAUUAUACUGCUACCCCAUACAUUUAUACAAAUAAAAAAGUUAAAUGUAAAAUAUUAUUUGUUGAAUCAUGACCAAGUGAACAAAUAACGUGGGAAGGAUACUUGGAAGUACAGGUAUGCAAAUAAGAAAUUUUGAUUAGAGUAGUGUUUUAAAUAUACCCUGAAAUAUAUUUAAAUGAAAUAAUAAUGUGUGAAAUUCAAAUUGUUUAAGAUUGAACAGACUUCUUAGAGUUCUGCAUGAUCUUCUACAUCCCUUCUGGAGCUUUGAGCCUUAAACAAUUGGACUAAGAAUUGAAGGAGGUGGAUGAUUCAUUCCAAGGUGAUUUAAGAGUCUUGCAGCAUGAACUGAUCAUUUCUUUAAGUGCUUUGCCCAAUCUCACAAAACUCUUCAAACACAGAGAAAAAACAACCCUAUUGCACUUGAACAUUUUACUCCAACUUAGCUAUGACACUUUAGCAAUAAAUAAUGCUAGAAGGCAGAAGUCAUUCCUAAAAUGUAAGUACACAGUGUGGGGAUGAUGGAGUAUUUUUGGCUUACAAGAAUGUCAUUUAGUGACUUACUACAUUUUUCAAAGAAAGAAUACAAACCAAAUCUAGGAUGACCCAGUUUUAAGAGGUGACUUACUCAGGGGUAAUGAUCAAAAGGCUAUGGUUAAGGUUUUAAAGACCCAGGGAUUCACCUUGUGUUGUUUAAAUAGAUUAAUAAUUAAAUAGUGUUUGUAGGGAAAGGGAUUUUUAGCUUCAGGGGCUUAAAGGCAAGUGUGACAGAAGAAAAAGUUCUAAGGCUGGAGUGUUCAUCUUUCUGAAUAGACCACAGUGAAGUGAAAGUCCCUAAACUGGGGCUUGUCUAGGCCAUUGAAUUACAUCUGUAUACACAUGCCCCCAUCAGGCUGCCCUGGCUGCAGUUCUCUGAAAGAUGCCAGAUGGUGAAGCUCAAGCUGGUUCUCUGUCUUAUUCUAAGGGUCUUUGAUGACUUUCCUCUAAAGGUUGCUUUUAGCAGCAGAACAGAGUGAAAGUAGAGGGAACUUCAGUGUGUCAUUUUUCCAGCUCUGCCUGGACAUGUCGCAGAGCAGGGAAGGCCUCCAAGAUGAAUGGGCAUGCUCAUUUCUCUCACAAAGCAGAAGAAAGGAGACUUGGGUAGGUCAGACUGCGGGAGAACGAGAGACUUGGGCAAAUAGUGCGGGAGAAUGAGAGACUUGGGCAAAUAGUUCAAUUGACUUUCUCAUAAGACAGGCAACACUGGAAGUUCCUGGGUUUGGCAAGGGAUUGAUUUUAAAUUUAUUUUUAUUUUUUAUGUUUGCAGUAUAAAAUACACAUAGUGAAGGGUGUAAAUUAUACUAGUCUGAACUGUACUGCUCAGUGAAAGUUUACAUAUGGGUGUACUCCAGUAGCUGCCAUACAGAUCAAGAUAUAGAUCAUUUCCAGCACCCUAGAAAGUUCCCUUGUACCACCUUCCUAGUCAAUACCACCUUCCCCCUUUGGUAACCACUAUUAUGACACCUAUCACCAUGGAUUCCAUUUGCCUAUUGUACUUAAACAUUUGAAUUUCAGUUGCAGAAUAAAUAAGUGAAAUCUUACAGUAUGUACACUUGUGUCUGGUUUCUUUUUCCCAACAUAAUGUUUGUGAGGUUAAUUCAUUUGUUCCGUGCAUCAGUAGCAUUUUCCUUUUUAUUGCGGAGUAGUAUUCCAUCAUGUGCACAGACUAUAGUUGGUUUGUCAUGCACCAGUUGGUGUACAUUUGGAUCGCUUUUAUUUGGGGCAAUUAUGCCUCAAGACAGUAUGAACAUUCUUGUAUAUGAUGAGAUUAUUGUACUCUAUAUAUCUAGGGGUGGAAUUUGCUGGAUCAGAGGAUAGGCCUAUGAUUGAGUUUAGCAGAUAUAACCAUACAGUUUUCCAAGUGGAUAAACCAUCAUGGGACUAUCUAAUGGUAGAUUCCUCAGGUCACUUGCACCUCUGGCUUCACAUUCCCACUGCUAAUUACAAUUAUGCUGCGAAUUGUUUUAAAAUGUUACAUGGUUCAUUCAACUAAAUUGUAAGGGCUGAAAUUCAGGGGCCACAUCCAACUUUCCUCCCUCCUCCUCUUACACAGAGCAAGUGGAGAGUCAUUCAGCUGGUUCAGUACAGUGGGACCCUGACAAAUUGGCACAAGCUACCCCCAAACACAUCUUCCACUUCGUAGCCACCCCUCUGGGGCUUGCAUUGAUUGAUUUCAUGAAUCUGGAGUCUCUACUCUGGCCCCAGGCCUGGCUUUUGUCUGGGUUCAACUUGUGGGAGGCUGGACGUAAAUUACAGAAUGACAAGGCUGUGGAGGGAACUCUGUGAUCUUCUCCAAGGUGUUUUAAAGUACAGGUUUCCAUGAGGCAAUUUCAGAGCAGAGACCAGUUUUAAGGGUUAUUAUGAACCUACAGGAUGUGUCCUGCAAACCCCUCCUGGAACUCGGUUAGCCCUAGGUGACCAGCAUCCCGCACAGCCUUGUCCCCUCAGCAGUUCCCCUGGGUAGCAUGACUUGGUUCCUGUCAGUCCUGCCCUCUCCAAGGGUCCCCGCAUUUGAGACUGUAACAGAAGAAGGCUUUCUAGAAAGGGAAACUCUGCCCUCCCAGGAGAAGGCUCUGAAUCUCCUUCCACUGUCAGGCCCACACCUCCUUCAAAGUUAGUGAAAGUCUCUCUUUCUUGGAAACCCAAGUUCUCCCUCUCACUGGCAUUGAAGGGUUUGGCAGUCCCCGCCUCAGCAGCCGGGGUCCCACGGGUCCGGGGAGGGUAGGGUAGCAGGAGGCAGGCGUGCCGGCCGGCCUGACACCUGUCGUGGGCGCGUUCGGCCUCCGCAACCCCCCAACAGCUGUCAGCGGUGGCUGCCGCAGGGACCAGCCAGGAGCGGAAGGAAUUAAACGCCCGCCCAUCGCAUCAGACUCGGCCGCUCCCUCCUCCUCCUCCUCUUCCCCCUCCCACUUUGCGCCGCCUUCUCCAGGUCCCCACCGGCUCUGCGGCGGGACGCUGUGUCAGGGGCGCUUUGCAUAGCACUCGGCACGCACGGAGCAGGGCUCUCGCCCCGGGGCUGCCCCGGGAUGGCAGUGAAGUACGGGGAACUCAGAGAGACACCGUGACCCCAGACUGAGCCCAAGGCGCGCCACUCCUCCCGGAGGCAACAUGGGGCACCCGGUGUACCGCGGCGAGAAGCCCCAGCUGCACUACGCGCGAGAAAGAACGUGGGUCCUACAUUAGGACUGACAUCAGAGGAAAGAGAAAUGUUUAUAACCAGAAAGGAACUUAAAGAUGAGGAAGAGAAUGACAAUUUUGAUGACUGCAACAAUGAUGUUGAUGCUAUAGGUUUAAAUAGUACUUUAUAAGCUACAGAGAUAUGAGAUGGACAAGACACAACAGAACUUAACAGGACUAGAAGCAGAUGUGCCUGCCUGAUAGGGCGGAAGCCUGGAAACCCCACAAUCUGGAGCGCCACUAUCCAGCAGGACGAGACCAAGGGGAAUCCUAGAGGAAUCCUUCUCUAGCCUUCAAGUCUGGGGAGAGCCUACCCUGUUCCUGGCCUGGCUCACUUAGGUCGACUGUUCUCAUGUACAGGAUCUUUGUAAGUUGGUUGUUUCUAGGGCACCUGUAUUUAGUUAUAUGAUAUGAAUGUUUAUUUUAAUGUAGUAGCUCUGGAUCCAGGCACAAAUAUAUUAGAAUGUAAGGUUCAUUUUUAUUUUUAAAAGAUUUUACUUCAUUUUGACUAAUUUCAGUUUUGAUUAUGAUCUCCUGCUUCUUUACCAGUUUAAAGCCAUCAUUUUUAUGCAAAUAAAAUGAGUGUGCAUGAUUGUAGUAAAACAUUCCAUUUUGUGGUUAUAGGAGGAAAUGGGAGAAGUGGGUGGUGCAUUGUGUGUGUGUGUGUGUGUGUGUGUGUGUGUGUAUGUGUGUGUGUGUGUAAUUUGAAUAUGACCUAAAGGAGGGGGGUGUUUGUUGCACCAAGACAUACUUCAAGGAAUUAAAAAUUGUGUUGUACUAAAGGGAGGUCUUUUUCACUAAUAACUUAGAAGUAUUGCAGACCAUUUAGUGUUUUUUGUUGGCCAGAAGUAUUAUAAUUAACAGACUUUUUCCCCCCUGGGAGCUCUUUGAAUGCAUAAUUUCUUUAAAAAGAUUUUUAAAGACUGACCGACCACCUGAAAAUUAUUUUCUGCUAAUCCCAAGCAAAUGUCUCUGUAAUAUAAAUACUGCUUUAAAGUUAUCUUAUGGGGUACAUAUGACCCAAAGGGAAAAUAACUUGUUUAUUAAGUUGAUUUUCUUUCUUUUUUUAUGAUUCACAAAUUGUCAAAUUCAUCCUGUUUGGGACAGUAGAAAUAUGGAAACAUGUAAAUGAAUAACAUUUUUAAAGUGUAAAUCAACUAAAAUGUAUAUGAAGCCCUGCUGGAUUCUUAGGCAGUCUCUUGAUAUUUCUAAGUCACACUUCUCUCUUCUAGGAUUCUAUUUUGGGACAUAGUCAUAAACACAAAAGGAAGAUUUCAGCACCAAAUUAUAUUCAUCUUUAAAAUAUUGGGGCCCUUCAGCCCUUCUAAACACUGGAAAACUCUCUGGAGUUUGGUUUGCCAAGACAUGGGAAACUUUUUUUCCAGAAUAUUUUUAAGGGAAAAUUAUAUUUUAGGGUUAUGAAUGUAGAAUGAUAACACAGAUAAUUUACCAUAUUUAAUAAACCUCUAUAGCUAAGUCUAGGUUCUCUUUGAAAGAUCUUGUUUUUUUUCACCCAGCCCCAUAGUUACAUAUUUGAGGGAGUGAAACUGAGCAUACAGGAUUUUUGGAGUGGCAGGUCCAUUUGAAAUCCUUCUCAUCCAAUGUGUUCGUUUUGUAGAAAAGGGAACUGGAGCCCAGAGGGAUUCAGUGACUUGAGCAAGGCUACUGUUGGUAAUGGCAAUAGUAGGAGUGGCCAUCAUUUACUGAAGGUCUUCUUUUUCUGGAUUUCCUUACAUUUUAUUUUACCCUCACAACCACCUUGUAAAGCAGGGGGCCAUAUUCCAGUUUUACAAGUGAGAAAUCUGAAGUUUGGGAAGUCCUCUAGCUGUUCAAAGUCAACAGGUACUAAGAGGCAGAGCAAGAAUCCACUGAUUGUGGAUGCCUGAUGGCUUCUGCCUCAGGGUGUUUUCCAUUAUACCAGACAUUUCCCAGGUCUAAGUAGAAAUACAAGAAGCAUUCCUUCUUUAUACAUGUUUACUUCUAAUAUAUCAAGAACAUCUCUAUCUAAGCAAUCACCCUGAUACUCAAUCUUUUGGAUAGUAGUCUGGGGUAUUGGGUCUCCUUACCUUAGUUUUUCUGACAAAAAGUAAUCUCCCUCCUACUGGAUUUCAUAAUACUCCAAAAUUUGUCUUCAGUGGAUACCUCAACAUAUCCUUUGAAAUGUCUAUUUUAUUUAGAUCUGAAGAAGAGUAUACUUUUUUUUGCUGUCAUUCGGUGAUUCAUUCAUGUAUCUAUUCACUAAGUAUGUUUUGAAUGCCUACUAUAUGCAGAUGCUAUUCUAGGCUUUGGAGAUACAGUUCUGGACAAAAUAGACACAAACCCCUGCCCUGAUGGUACUUUCUUUCUAGAGGGCCAAAGGAUGGCCAAUACAUACACAGCAAACAAUAAGGUAAGUGAGAUGGUGAUAGAUACACUAGAAACAAAAAACAGAGAAGUUUGUUUAAUGAGUGGAAUGAGACACCAGGAAGAUGGGAUAGGAGUUACUUAAAAAUAAACUUCACUGAGAGGGGAAAUUGGGGAGUGCUUCGUAUCACAUUGUCAAUGCAGCAAAAAAAUGCCAGUGUCUAUUUUUUCAGCAAAUUCCUUUCCAAAAACGUAAGUCUUCAAUUCCCCACCAAUAGUAAAAUGCUUAUCCUAACUCUGUCUCUAUCCUUAUGAUAUCCUCCCAUCCACCCUUUAUAGAACCCAUUGUUAUCACUAUUAUACAAAAAAAAAAAAAAAAAAAA